GAGUUACCUGCAGUUUGCUGCUCGCGCCGCCUGCACGUGUUUGGUGUGCUCCGGCUCAGGCCCUGUCUCUCUAUCCAGGCACCAGCCUGCCCUGAGGAUGGAGUGCUCUGAAGAGGCUUGCAGAGGAGAGAGAACUUCAAUUUUCGAGUCGCUACGAGCAAUUUGUGAGUAAGCCCUUGACAGCUUACUAAUUCAGCUCUUAAACUUCAGGAACAGCUGAGAUCAAAACGGUGCAUUGUACAAGCAAUCUGGGUAAAAAAAAAGAGAGAGAGAAAGGAUCUUGCAUUAGACGUGAAAUGUUCUCCGAACCCUUUUAUAAUGAUUUUAUUUUAGCACUUCAUGAGAGCAGCUUAUGAGCUAUGAAAUGCCUUUUGAACCCUGACAUUAAAAGGCGUCUCACGGAUACAUGAAUCCAUGAGUGUGCUGUUUAAAAUAAUGGCUGCUAAAUGGUUAUUGGCUUAGACCAAAAACCUUUAAUUGGUAUAAAACCACUGGUGCAAAAUUAGUGUGGGGGAAAGAAAUACACCCCGCAUAUCCCCACACUUUUUAAAAUUACACAAGAUAAACCUGCGGUCAGG
Molecule: long non-coding RNA, 578 nt
Filed under: Astyanax mexicanus (Mexican tetra)
Lineage: Eukaryota; Metazoa; Chordata; Actinopteri; Characiformes; Acestrorhamphidae
Description: lncRNA (ENSAMXG00005003001.1)
Source: RNAcentral